GUGGUUGCUUCUGCAGCACAUAUACUAAAAUUAGAAUAAUACAGAGAAGAUUAACAUGCUCCCUGUGCAAAGAUGGCAUGUCAACUUAAACAUUCAGCACUUUUUA
Molecule: small nuclear RNA, 106 nt
Organism: Mesocricetus auratus (golden hamster)
Lineage: Eukaryota; Metazoa; Chordata; Mammalia; Rodentia; Cricetidae
Source: Ensembl